This 425-nucleotide ribosomal RNA is filed under the name uncultured bacterium. RNAcentral's name for it is "partial 16S ribosomal RNA". It matches the Rfam family "Bacterial small subunit ribosomal RNA", at positions 354 to 796 of the family's 1533-position model. The record is from RNAcentral.
GUAGGGAAUAUUAGAAAUGGACGAAAGUCUGAUCUAGCAACACCGCGUGUGCGAAGAAGGCCUUCGGGUUGUAAAGCACUUUUUGGAAGGAUUAGGAAGGAAUGUACUUCCAGAAUAAGUCUCGGCUAACUACGUGCCAGCAGCCGCGGUAACACGUAGGAGGCAAACGUUAUCCGGAUUUACUGGGCGUAAAGCGCGUGUAGGUGGUUCUGUAAGUAGGGCGUGAAAGCUCCUGGCUCAACUGGGAGAGGCCGUUCUAAACUGCAGAGCUAGAGGAUGGUAGAGGGAGGUGGAAUUCCGGGUGUAGCGGUGGAAUGCGCAGAUAUCCGGAGGAACACCAGUGGCGAAAGCGGCCUCCUGGACCAUUCCUGACACUCAGACGCGAAAGCUAGGGUAGCAAACGGGAUUAGAAACCCUUGUAGUCC